GCACUGGCUAACUCUGUGCCAGCAGCCGCGGUAAUACAGAGAGUGCAAGCGUUAAUCGGAAUCACUGGGCGUAAAGCGCGCGUAGGUGGAUAUUUAAGUCGGAUGUGAAAGCCCUAGGCUUAACCUAGGAACUGCACUCGAUACUGGGUAUCUCGAGUAUGGUAGAGGGAAGUGGAAUUUCCGGUGUAGCGGUGAAAUGCGUAGAUAUCGGAAAGAACACCAGUGGCGAAGGCGGCUUCCUGGACCAAUACUGACACUGAGGCGCGAAAGCGUGGGGAGCAAACAGGAUUAGAGACCCUGGU
This 302-nucleotide ribosomal RNA is filed under the name bacterium symbiont of Haemaphysalis hystricis. Its description in RNAcentral is "bacterial SSU rRNA". It matches the Rfam family "Bacterial small subunit ribosomal RNA", at positions 490 to 791 of the family's 1533-position model. The record is from RNAcentral. RNAcentral also lists the same sequence under 1 other name.